RNAcentral lists this ribosomal RNA (429 nucleotides) under Boophis quasiboehmei. RNAcentral describes it as "partial 16S ribosomal RNA". It matches the Rfam family "Bacterial large subunit ribosomal RNA", at positions 2002 to 2590 of the family's 2925-position model. Lineage: Eukaryota; Metazoa; Chordata; Amphibia; Anura; Mantellidae. The record is from RNAcentral.
UCACGAGGAUCCUACUGUCUCCCCCCUCUAAUCAGUGAAACUGAUCUCCCCGUGAAGAAGCGGGGAUAUACAUAUAAGACGAGAAGACCCCAUGGAGCUUUAAACCUGACAGCACCCGCUCAUUCUAUACCCCAUUAUUUGCCCGACCCCUGUCUGCUCAGUUUUAGGUUGGGGUGACCACGGAGUAUAAAAUAACCUCCAUGAAGAAGGGGAUAUUUCCCUUAUUAGAGAACCACACUUCCAAGAACUAAUAAAUUAAUUUUCAAUGACCCGAUACCCGAUAAUCGAUCAACGAACCAAGUUACCCUGGGGAUAACAGCGCAAUCCACCCUGAAAGCCCUUAUUAACAGGUGGGUUUACGACCUCGAUGUUGGAUCAGGGUAUCCCAGUGGUGCAGCAGCUACUGAGGGUUCGUUUGUUCAACGAUUA